Molecule: RNase P RNA, 273 nt
Filed under: Porticoccaceae bacterium
Lineage: Bacteria; Pseudomonadati; Pseudomonadota; Gammaproteobacteria; Cellvibrionales; Porticoccaceae
Description: partial RNase P RNA component class A
Rfam family: Bacterial RNase P class A
About the family: Ribonuclease P (RNase P) is a ubiquitous endoribonuclease, found in archaea, bacteria and eukarya as well as chloroplasts and mitochondria. Its best characterised activity is the generation of mature 5'-ends of tRNAs by cleaving the 5'-leader elements of precursor-tRNAs. Cellular RNase Ps are ribonucleoproteins.
Source: RNAcentral
UGAGUUGACUAGGCAAUCGCUGCUCUGAAUUCUCCGAUAUUCGCAUGCGUUUAGAGGGGGGCAGGCCAGAGGAAAGUCCGGGCUCCAGAGGGUAGAGUGCCAGGUAACGCCUGGGGGGCGGAAGCCUACGGAAAGUGCCGCAGAGAGCAGACCGCCGAUGAUUCGUUCGCGAAUACAGGUAAGGGUGAAAGGGUGCGGUAAGAGCGCACCGCGCUGUUGGUAACAGCAGUGGCAGGGUAAACCCCACUCGGAGCAAGACCAAAUAGGUUUCCA